UGGGGAAUAUUGGACAAUGGGCGCAAGCCUGAUCCAGCCAUGCCGCGUGAGUGACGAAGGUCUUCGGAUUGUAAAGCUCUUUUGGCGGGGACGAUAAUGACGGUACCCGCAGAAUAAGCCCCGGCUAACUUCGUGCCAGCAGCCGCGGUAAUACGAAGGGGGCUAGCGUUGUUCGGAAUUACUGGGCGUAAAGCGCACGUAGGCGGACUGAUAAGUCAGGGGUGAAAUCCCGGGGCUCAACCUCGGAACUGCCUUUGAUACUGUUAGUCUCGAGUCCGGAAGAGGUGAGUGGAAUUCCUAGUGUAGAGGUGAAAUUCGUAGAUAUUAGGAAGAACACCAGUGGCGAAGGCGGCUCACUGGUCCGGUACUGACGCUGAGGUGCGAAAGCGUGGGGAGCAAACAGGAUUAGAUACCCGAGUAGUCCCUGAGCGGGCUGGCAAGGCGCAU
Molecule: ribosomal RNA, 447 nt
Filed under: uncultured bacterium
Lineage: Bacteria
Description: bacterial SSU rRNA
Rfam family: Bacterial small subunit ribosomal RNA
Source: RNAcentral